This 648-nucleotide long non-coding RNA is filed under the name Androctonus crassicauda. The record is from RNAcentral. Lineage: Eukaryota; Metazoa; Arthropoda; Arachnida; Scorpiones; Buthidae.
AGUGCCACACCAAGCCUUAUGUAUAAACAUUAACUUUGCAUUAGUUUAUUUCAAAAUUUGUAAAAAUUUCAAAACUAUGGCAUUUUAGGCUAAAAGGAGCAAGCUUUUGCUUAGAACACAGAGACUAGUGGUCUUAUGGAUUAUGAAGACAUAUCGGACUGUUUUAAUACAGGCUAUGCUGGUCUUGGGCAGAUCUGAUGCCUUUGUCUUUGCUGGUGGGGCAAGAGGCUGCCUUAUUCCGCAUCUAUAUGGUCAAGGAGGGCACUUCUCACUGUGGACAGAUGUACCUGGUUGUUGCAGAAGAUUGCAAAGGAGAUGUAUGUGCAAUCCUGUCAGCAUAAACACAGUAGGCUACUUCCAAAAUAAAUGCCAUCUUUGGAACUGUUGGUAAAGAUCUCAAUUCCUGCCAUGUCUGGUUCACCAGCCUUUCAGCCAAAGCACAUGCAAAGGGAUGGAAGAUUGCACAUACAUCUGUGGACAGACCUCAAAGCAAUCAAAAUUUGAGAAUGCUUCUGGAGGUCAUAUUUUAUUGCCCUUGUUCACAAGCCCUUCCGACUGAUGUACCAUUUCCAAAUGGACUACCUCAGCUUACAAAAGCCACUUCUCUGUUUACAAAUGAAACAGGAACUGUAUUUGUUUUGAAGCCAG